AAAUAUUUGACUAUAUGGAUGACACGCUUAGGUAUGCUACACAAAACAAUUAUGAGACCAUUAUCCUCGGGGAUUUAAAUUGUGAUUGUCUCAACGCGUCUCUUAAACAAACAGAAAGACUAUUUGAAUUCCUCAUGGUUAAUGGUUUAGAACAACUCAUUAAAAAACCAACUCGGGUAACAAACAAUAGACAAUCAUUAAUAGACGUCUUAAUCACCUCGACGCCCUGUCUUUCUAAG
This is a non-coding RNA of Paramuricea clavata, 239 nucleotides long. The record is from the annotation of a GenBank genome assembly. Lineage: Eukaryota; Metazoa; Cnidaria; Anthozoa; Malacalcyonacea; Plexauridae.